GAUGAACGCUGGCGGCGUGCCUAAUACAUGCAAGUCGAGCGAACAGACGAGGAGCUUGCUCCUCUGACGUUAGCGGCGGACGGGUGAGUAACACGUGGAUAACCUACCUAUAAGACUGGGAUAACUUCGGGAAACCGGAGCUAAUACCGGAUAAUAUAUUGAACCGCAUGGUGCAAUAGUGAAAGACGGCUUUGCUGUCACUACUAGAUGGAUCCGCGCCGCAUUAGCUGGUUGGUAAGGUAACGGCUUACCAAGGCAACGAUGCGUGGCCGAACUGAGGGGGGGAUCGGCCACACGGGAACGGGGACACGGUCCAGACGACUGCGGGAGGCCGCAGUAGGGAACCUGACGCAAUGGGCGAAAGCUUGACGGAGCAACGCGGCGUGAGUGAUAAAGGUCUUCGGAGCGUAAAACUCUGUUAUUAGGGAAGAACAAAUGUGUAAGUAACUAUGCACGUCUUGACGGUACCUAAUCAGAAAGCCACGGCUAACUACGUG
RNAcentral lists this ribosomal RNA (497 nucleotides) under uncultured bacterium. RNAcentral describes it as "partial 16S ribosomal RNA". It matches the Rfam family "Bacterial small subunit ribosomal RNA", at positions 28 to 507 of the family's 1533-position model. The record is from RNAcentral.